UUCCAGCUUCAUAUGUUGCUUGAAAAUACAUUUCUUUCAUCAAACUACAUAUAUUUGUGUGAAUGGCCUUCAAAGAAGAAGAAGCCCUGUGUCUCCAGAUGUGUAAUAAUAACAUCCACCAGCAGAGGAGAUCAUGGACCGGAAGAGAAGAGAGAAAACAACACACACCAUGAGACAUGAUCAUACAAGAACUGUCCUUCAGAUAUUAUAUAUCAUCUCAAAACAGAGGAAUUUAAUAACCUUCACUAUGAGUUCAGUGAGGAAACUGAGCUGCUAUAUAACAAGUCUGCUGAUAUUUCCUCAUCAAACACAGAUCACUGAAUAAUACACUCAGAUUUUCACAGGAGCUUCGAGUGAUGAUGAUCAGAUCAAAUCUGAAUUAAAAUCAAAAAACAGGAUCAUCUGGUGAUCAAAGAACUCAUAAAAUAAUUUAGGUAUGUAUUUGAAAUGUAUUUUUAACAUUACAGAAAUAUUAAAUAGUUUUGUUUUCACAAAUCAGUUUUCAAGGCCUUGGACACUGUCAAAUAAUCUUAUUUUGUCUCUAGUUGGCGCUCAAACAGGGUCUUUAGAAGAGAUGUACUUUCUGUACUGUCACACAGUGACAUUAAACAUCAACUGUAAAUGGUGAUAUAUUAUUAUUCAAAAGAGUAAUUCUGCAGAAGUGAGUCAUAUUGAGUCAUCAGGAUUCAUUUCUCUCUUCAGUCAACACAGAUGAUCCUGAUCCUGAACAAGCUCUCAUUAUCUCUGUACUGCUUUGUCAAAUUGUCAUAUUCAGUCACUGUUAAAAUUUGAUAUAUCAGCCUGAUUUGAUUAUGUUAUAUAAAGCUCACUUUUUUUUUCACAUCCAUAAAAGUAAAAGUAUCAGGACCUUUUUGGCUUCUGAGAGCUUCAGUUUCUUAAAGCACUGUUUAUGAGCUUUUGUUUUAGCAGAUUUAAUGCAUUAAAUCUUUUCCUGUGGUGAUUCAGUGGCUGAUGAAGCUAGUGUUGGCGGUUUAGUUGUUCUGUGGAGUUUGAUGAUGGUUUGUGGGAAGAGAAAAUCCACUGGAAAAAACAAUGACUUUAAGAUCUGAACACAGUAAAGAUACUUGACUAGACCAAACAUCUGUGGAUGGGGUUAAACAGACAUGAAUGCAAAAUGUGCUAAAAUAGUUGUGAUGAGAGAUAAAGAUCAACCAAGAGCAGAGUGGAAAAUAAACUGAAGAAAUGACUGAAGUUAACAAGUUUAUUUUUGUGACUGUGUGACUGUCUUCGGUUUUUCUUCACAGCUUCUGUCACACUCAUCUUUUUUUUCACUCGUGGUCAGCAUCUUCCUAGAACUGAUUAACAGUAUGUUUUCAGCAGAAACACCCACAGACAUGAGAACAAUGUUUGUCACCUUUUAAAAUACAUUUUGAAGGUUUGUAUUCACUACAAGUUUUCUCUCCUGUUCAUCCUUUUCAUUUGGUAAUUGCAUUUAAGUGAUAAUUAUUUAUCUAUUUAUGUAUUAUUCACUUAUUUAUUGUGCAAUAAAAGGCCUAGUGUCUGAUGUAUUUUCUUGUUAAAAGUGUGUGCUAAAUUAAAAUUGUAAGUAUAAUAGAAUGAUGGCCAGUAGGAUAUUAUAUUUUGGGAUGUAGUAUAUUUGAUUAAUCAUGAGGUGAAUGCACGACUGUGCAAGUAAUAUUCACUCUUCAAGACUACAGUUGACGUUAGAUAUGUCACU
RNAcentral lists this long non-coding RNA (1699 nucleotides) under Carassius auratus (goldfish). Its description in RNAcentral is "lncRNA (ENSCARG00000042884.1)". The record is from RNAcentral. Lineage: Eukaryota; Metazoa; Chordata; Actinopteri; Cypriniformes; Cyprinidae.